CAUUCAUCCCGAAAAGCCCAUUGGUUGCCCAAACCCCACAGCCGCACGCCCCCACCUCCUUCCUCCCUCAUUCGUCUCAGCAGCACGAACCCUGGCCGCCGCCCCACCCGCAUCCGUCCUCCAUCCCUGCAACAGCGUCUCCAUGGACGUCAGCAGCAGCAGCGUCUCCAUGGACGCGGCGGCGUGACGGCUCGCCGGGGUGGAUCCCCUCCUCCGCCCCCAUCCUCCACCUCUCCGGCCGGCCAGUUGCAACGUUUAUUCUUCCUGCUGCUAAUUCUUAGACUUCACGGCUGGGUGGAGGAGCAGGGAUGGUCUGUAGGCUAGCGGUAGGGGGAUGGAGCAACAAUGUCUGAGCUUUGGGCGGCACACACAUUGUAGGGCUGAGGAGAGGUUGGAGGCAUUGGUGUGAGGGUGUUGUGCUGACGUGCUCCUCCAUGUCUCGUGCGAGUUCUUGGUGUCGCGAUCAUGGCUCCAGAGAGCAGCGCUUCAAGGUCACUUAAGCUUGAAUGGGUUAUCAAGUCUACUGGAACCAUUCAUGUUUAGGCUUGUUCAUUGGUUUUAGAACAGACACUCCCUUAAGUAUGUUUAAUCACAAUUAAAAGGAGGAAGCCAAAUUAUUGCAAUGUAAGUGCUUGAACUCGGAGGCUUGAUCCACUAUCACUUGCUCCUACCACUGUGUCAUAAUAUCUCAUUUUCAUAUAUAAGAUGAUAGUAACUGAAUGAUCAUAUUAGGAGUGCGUUAUUGGUAGCCUUGUGAGGUUUUCUUCAUAACUUCUUCUCCUGUUUUUAAUGUUUGUAUUCUCUUUGUUGCAAGGUGUGGCUGCAGGUAAAGUUGUCAAGUUGAUCUGGUGCUUGCUUGAGCCGUUGAUUACUGCUGCUUUGCUAAGGUUCAACGUCUUACUACAUGAGAAAUUUAUUCCAAUGCUUUCUCAAUCCCUUUACCAUGAUGACUACCAGAGGAACCUUCAAUGUGUAUAGAUGGUGAUGGAUAUGGGGACACACAAGAACUAGCGAACUUAAUACCAGAUGCCCUCAACUAUGAAUUCUUUAAUUAUUGGAGGCUUUCAUAUUCAUAUCAAUACAAGGUGGGAUAUGAUGCAGGUACAUAUGCAAAUUUGUCUUCUGUUGGUAGUUUGUUGCUUGUUGCAGCAUCCCGAGCACAUAUGUGAGGCUAUGGCAGUCCUUUUUCGUGUAAUAAACUGAUGAUGAGAAGAAUAUGACAGGCCGACCAAUUGUACACUGUGAACACAAUCGUUGUUUGCAGUGUGAUUUUCCGUGAUUCCGGAUCGGGCGCACCUCGUCGUCGUGGAGAGCAUGAGUGGCUGGGUCUGCAUGGUCAGUGGAGAUGAGGUUCUUUUGGAUUAAUGCUUCUGCCUGAUGAGUUCCUCCCCUUUUAUGUCGCAGGCUGUAAGAUCUCUGCAUGUUGUUGCUUGCUUGUUCUGCCAGUGGUUUUGUUCACUUCCUUUUCUAUUUAUCUACUGCAUUCUUUUCUUUCCUAUGUGUUGUCAUGGAUAUUAGUUUCGAUUGUGUUUAUAUUCAGGAUUUGGCACAGAGUUUUGUUCUAUUUUGGCUCAUGCUUGCCGCUUGUGUGAUUGAACAUAUGGUGUUUUGUCUACUUAACCAUUUGUGUGUAGUAGUAUUCAUUUUAUCCUUGAUCAUGUGCGUAUGUACUACUGAAGUAGUUUUAAUUGAUAUAAAAGUUUUCAUGUAUUGCAGCUAUUUGACUUUGAGCAACCACAAUCUACAAGGAACGUUAGGAGUAAAUUAUAAUUUUCCAUCUCGAAAGCGUUUUGUAUGCAGAAUUGGUUAGCAUUAUCUCUAGAUACACCGUUUACUAUUAAGUAGAUAAUUUACAUGUUGUCGUGGACUAAAGGUGGUGAUAUAUACUUAUAUGCCCAUUCACAACUGCUAUUAUUUAAUAUGUUUCCCUUUGGGCAUCUACAAUGCUAGGAGCUUACAUAGGCGCUUACGAACAAAAUAAUAAAAUCUGAAGAACACCUAAGCGCCUCAUCCCUCAACGCUAGACGCUAAUUAACUAAACAACGUAGAUGCUAAGUGAUGGAAGAAAAAUGGCCAAGCGCCGGGUGCGUGAUUUGGCGUCGACGCCAGGGUUGACGCCAGGAUUAUAGCCGGCAACCGCUAAUCUGCUGGGAUUACGAGCCUGGCGCCGGGGCUAAGCGCCCAGUGAUGGAGAUGCCCUUAUAUCAUUGCGAAGUUGAAAUAUUGUUUUUCCUGGUCUUCUAGGUUCACAUAGUCCUCAAGAGUAUCCUUCUAUGUUGUGAUUCUAAAAAUAUUUUGAGUUAUUUCAUUUUGACUACUUCAUGCUUGAACUUGGAAUUGUUGGCUAAGCAGUUCUUGAAAUUUGAAGGGAGCGUGUGUAAGUCUGUAGUAAUUGGCAGUGCAAACAUGAUCAGCCUAUUGAUGAUGUAGUACUUAAUAUGAUCAUUAUCUGGUUUACUUGUUGUAUUUUAUUGCGCAUAGUAGACCACCAUGCAUCACCAACCAGGUAAAAAUGUUACAUCAGGGGGCUUUCAUGAGCUAAUUGCACAAUUCUUUAAGCUAUGCUCUGAACGUUAGUGGCCUUAUUCAAGCUUUGUAGGUUGCAGUGUAAUGUGAAGAUUCCAACGGAUAUCAAGCUUUAAAUUGGGAUCAUUUGCAAAGCGGAAAUAUAGAGAUCGACAUCUGAUGGGAAGGAACAUGUCGAAUAUAAUGGCCAAACAAGGAAGGGACAUGAGGCUGUAAUAUCAUUUUCGUUCUCAUUUCUUGUAGGAAGUCACAACUAGGAGUGAUGGUGGAAAUAUAACUGCCAGUUAGUACCUUUAUGUUUUUCUAAAAGAACUGUGAGCUACCGUUAGUUUCUUUUCCUGGUUCGUAAUCAGUAUAUACAGUUACCACACAAUCAUGAUCAUCAAUGUUCACAACUGUCUGAAUCGUGUGAUUCAAAGCAGAACCCAUAUGAUUGCCACUCAUGCAUGUAAUGUGUUAUCUGCAGUAUAUCUCAAUUUUGAAUGUGACAUGUCAUGUAUGUAUGUUAACUUCAGAUUUUUGUCAA
Triticum aestivum (bread wheat) is the source of this 3052-nucleotide long non-coding RNA. RefSeq lists it as uncharacterized. The record is from RefSeq and is a predicted model, not a curated record. The transcript is spliced from 7 exons. NCBI's taxonomy places the organism in Eukaryota, Viridiplantae, Streptophyta, Magnoliopsida, Poales, Poaceae.